GAUGAAGAACGUAGCGAAAUGCGAUAAGUAAUGUGAAUUGCAGAAUUCAGUGAAUCAUCGAAUCUUUGAACGCACAUUGCGCCCGCUAGUAUUCUAGCGGGCAUGCCUGUCCGAGCGUCAUUUCAACCCUCAAGCCCCCGGGCUUGGUGUUGGGGAUCGGCGAGCCUCCGCGCCCGCCGUCCCCUAAAUCUAGUGGCGGUCUCGCUGUAGCUUCCUCUGCGUAGUAGCACACCUCGCACUGGGAAACAGCGCGGCCACGCCGUUAAACCCCCAACUUCUGAACGUUUGACCUCGGAUCAGGUAGGAAUACCCGCUGAACUUAAGCAUAUCAAUAAGCGGAGGA
Molecule: unclassified non-coding RNA, 343 nt
Filed under: soil metagenome
Description: partial contains 5.8S ribosomal RNA, internal transcribed spacer 2, and large subunit ribosomal RNA
Rfam family: 5.8S ribosomal RNA (bases 1-120)
Source: RNAcentral